CCUACGGGGGGCAGCAGUGGGGAAUAUUGGACAAUGGACCAAGAGUCUGAUCCAGCAAUUCUGUGUGCACGAUGAAGUUUUUCGGAAUGUAAAGUGCUUUCAGUUGGGAAGAAAAGAAUGACGGUACCAACAGAAGAAGUGACGGCUAAAUACGUGCCAGCAGCCGCGGUAAUACGUAUGUCACGAGCGUUAUCCGGAUUUAUUGGGCGUAAAGCGCGUCUAGGUGGUUAUGUAAGUCUGAUGUGAAAAUGCAGGGCUCAACUCUGUAUUGCGUUGGAAACUGUGUAACUAGAGUACUGGAGAGGUAAGCGGAACUACAAGUGUAGAGGUGAAAUUCGUAGAUAUUUGUAGGAAUGCCGAUGGGGAAGCCAGCUUACUGGACAGAUACUGACGCUAAAGCGCGAAAGCGUGGGUAGCAAACAGGAUUAGAUACCCUA
RNAcentral lists this ribosomal RNA (437 nucleotides) under uncultured bacterium. Its description in RNAcentral is "bacterial SSU rRNA". It matches the Rfam family "Bacterial small subunit ribosomal RNA", at positions 338 to 789 of the family's 1533-position model. The record is from RNAcentral.